This 323-nucleotide ribosomal RNA is filed under the name uncultured Euglyphida. RNAcentral describes it as "SSU rRNA". The stretch from base 108 to 323 matches the Rfam family "Eukaryotic small subunit ribosomal RNA", at positions 738 to 955 of the family's 1831-position model. Lineage: Eukaryota; Cercozoa; Imbricatea; Euglyphida. The record is from RNAcentral.
GAUUUCUGCUUGACCGUCCUGGCCCGCCUCUUUCGGGAGGUGAGUGCUGUGACGAGUCUUGCAUCCUUCUAGAGAGCCGUGCCUGCUGUUCACUCAGCUGGGCGUGUGCGAUCUAGAUCUUUUACUUUGAAAAAAUUAGAGUGUUUAAAGCAGGCUUACGCUGUGAAUACAUUAGCAUGGAAUAAUAAUAUAGGACUUUGGUCUUAUUUUGUUGGUUCUGAGGACUGAAGUAAUGAUUGAUAGGGAUAGUUGGGGGUGCUAGUAUUCAGUGGCCAGAGGUGAAAUUCUUGGAUUCACUGAAGACUAACUACUGCGAAAGCAUU